RNAcentral lists this ribosomal RNA (2852 nucleotides) under Candidatus Nomurabacteria bacterium GW2011_GWE1_32_28. RNAcentral's name for it is "bacterial LSU rRNA". It matches the Rfam family "Bacterial large subunit ribosomal RNA". The record is from RNAcentral. Lineage: Bacteria; Candidatus Nomuraibacteriota.
UUAAGGGCGUAUGGUGGAUGCCUUGACUUUAAGAGGCGAUGAAGGACGUGGCGUUGCUGCGAUAAGCUUCGGGGAGGUGCUUAGCUACCUUUGAUCCGGAGAUUUCCGAAUGGGGAAACCCUAUCAAGUAAACCUUGAUAACUUUUAUCUUUAUGAUAAAAGAGCAUACCCUGGGAAGUGAAACAUCUCAGUACCAGGAGGAAUAGAGACAAAUAUGUAUUUCCUUAGUAGCGGCGAGCGAAAAGGAAGAAGCCCAAACCGUUCUCGCAAGAGGGCGGGGUUGUAAGAUGACAAUGUAGUUUACUAGGAGAGUUAAAAAAUAAAUUAUUAGUUGAAGUUGCUGGAAAGCGACACCGUAGGGGGUGAUAGUCCCGUAAACGAAAAUAAUUUAUCUCUUUUAUUGUUAUUCUUGAGUACCCCAGGACAUGAAUGGCCGGGGGGAAUCUAGCGGAACUAACCGCUAAGGCUAAAUACUCUUAAAGAUCGAUAGUGAACAAGUACCGUGAGGGAAAGGUGAAAAGCAGCCCGAUUAGGGCGGUGAAAUAGACCUGAAACCAUAUGUCUACAAGGAGUCGGAGCAGGUAUUUAUAUCUGCAACGGCGUGCCUAUUGAAGAAUGAGCCAACGAGUUUAUUCAUACUGCAAGGCUAAGCUGGCUAAAACAGCAGAGCCGAAGGGAAACCGAGUGUUAAUAGCGCGAAUGAGUAGUAUGCAUAAGACCCGAAGCCAGGUGAGCUUGCCAUGAGCAGGUUGAAGUUUGUCGAAAGACAAAUGGAGGACCGAACCGGUAGAUCGUACAACGUCUUCGGAUGACUUGUGGUAAGGAGUGAAAAGCUAAUCGAACCUGGUAAUAGCUGGUUCUCUCCGAAAUAGCUUUAGGGCUAGCGUCACUGGAAGGUUUCGACAGGGAGCAAUCUCGCGAAACCUAUCAAACUCCGAAUACCAGAAACCAUAGCUUGGCAGUUAGGCCAUGGGGGCGAAGCUCCAUUGGCCAAAAGGGAAACAGCCCAGAUCUCAAAAUAAGGUCCCUAAAUUUAUGCUAAGUGUAAGAUAAGAAGGUGGAAUUUCUCUGACAAUGAGGAGGUUGGCUUAGAAGCAGCCAUCCUUUAAAGAUAGCGUAACAGCUCACUCAUCUAGAGAUUUUGCGUCGACAUAGUACCGAAUUUGAGGAUUUCGUUUUUCUUCGGAAGAACGGAGUGGUAGGAGAGUGUUCCAAUCUGCUGUGAAGUAGGACUCGUGAGAGCCUAUGGAGCGUUUGGAAGUAAGAAUGUUGGCACAAGUAACCGCAAUGAGGGUGAGAUCCCCUCACGUCGAAAGAUCAAGGUUUCCUUGGUAAUGUCAAUCAGCCAAGGGUUAGUCGGGCCUAAGGGAAUGGAGAAAUCCGUACUCGAUGGACAUAGGGUUAAUAUUCCCUGACUUCUGUAUUUUGUGAUGGGACGACGGAGUGUAGUAUGUAUUGCUCAUUAUUGGAUUUGAAGUUUGUUUACUAAAGAUGAGGUGUAGGAAAAUCCGCACACUGCUUUCAAUGGCAAAUCUAAGGUAAAUGAAAAGUCUUAAGCCUCGGUUUAGGACAAUAAUACAAAGCACGCUUCCAAGAAAAAUCUCUAAACUUAAAAAUAUAGAAUCCGUACCGCAAACCGACACAGGUGAUCAGGUCGAGUAGACCAAGACGAACGAGUGAGUGGUCCCCAAGGAACUCGGCAAAAAAGCAGCCGUAACUUCGGGAUAAGGCUUGCCCCCACCACUUUGGAUAUUUCUAAAUAUUUGAGUGGUGGGGGCCGCAGCGAAAGUUUCUCUGGCAACUGUUUACCAAAAACACAGCUCCCUGCGAACUCGUAAGAGGAUGUAUAGGGGGUGACACCUGACCAAUGCCAGAAGGUCAAAUAUCGGCGGUGUAUGUCGCAAGAUGUAUGCAGACUGAUAUAAGCCCUGGUGAAUGUCGGCCGUAACUAUAACGGUCCUAAGGUAGCGAAAUACCUUGUCGGGUAAGUUCCGACGCGCACGAAUGGUGUAAUGACUGGAGAACUGUCUCGGGGACCAGCUCGGUGAAAAUACAAUGCCGGUGAAGAUGCCGGCUAAGUGCAGUUAGACGAAAAGACCCUAGAAGCUUUACUAUAACUUGAUAUUGAGCAUGUUUUUAAACUGCGUAGAAUAGAUGGGAGAGGUUUGAAGUGUACGGUUUCGGCUGUAUUCUACUCGUCAGUGAAAUACCAUUCUUUUUGAAGGCAUGUUCUAACCAAUACGGCAAAAACGUAUUGAGACAGUAUCUGGUGGAUAGUUUUACUGGGGCUGUACCCUCCUAAAAAGUAAAGGAGGGGUUUAAAGGUUAGCUAGGCGCGAAUGGAAACCGUGCCGAUAGUGUAAUGGCACAAGCUAGCUUGACUGUAAGAGGUACAUCUCAAGCAGGUGGGAAACCAGAACAUAGUGAUCCGACCAUACGCAUUAGACGCGGUGGAAGCUCAACGGAUAAAAGCUACUCUAGGGAUAACAGGCUAGUUCCGCCUAAGAGUUCAUAUCGACGGCGGAGUUCGGCACCUCGAUGUCGGCUCACCUUAGCGCGGCGGUGGAGAAGCUGCCAAGCGUUUCAGACCGUUCUUCAGUGUGAGACAGGUUGGUCUCCUAUCUACUGCACUCGUUGAUUCUUGAGAAGAUUUGCUCCUAGUAGGCCCGGACGAGAGGACCGGAGUGAACUGACCUCUGGUGUACGAGCUCUAUUGCCAAAUGGACUGCUCGGUAGCUAUGUCGGGAUUGGAUAACCUCUGAAAGCAUCUAAGAGGGAAGCCAGCUUCAAGAUUAGGAAUCGUUAAGAACCGUGAGAGAUGAUCACGUUGAUAGGCUUUAAGUGUAAGCGAG